ACUUGAGGCUGAGAUGACAGAAUAACAUGGGACAUCUCCCCCUAAAAGCGUAAGAGUGAUGUAUGCGCAGGGCAUUGUUGCUCUGUCUCCAUAUCUGGAAGACCCAUAUUCACAACAUGGAUAUAAACAUUACUACGAUCCAGAGAGCGCCAUUGCAUGGCGGUUGAAGACCAUUCAAAGAAAAGCUGCGGAGGAAAGAAGCGUCUCAGUUUGCAAAUCUCCCAAAAGCUGGGACAGUGACUUGUCUACUAUCUUGCUGCUGCUACAUCUGCUACCACCAUCUGCACAAGGGCGAAAGAGACCAGGAAAGAUGUCUG
Long non-coding RNA from Haplochromis burtoni (Burton's mouthbrooder), 317 nucleotides. RefSeq lists it as uncharacterized. The record is from RefSeq and is a predicted model, not a curated record. The transcript has 4 exons. NCBI's taxonomy places the organism in Eukaryota, Metazoa, Chordata, Actinopteri, Cichliformes, Cichlidae.